UCUCUGGUAGUAUAUUGACUAGUACACGCACCUGUCAUGAAAGUUUUCUUGAAUGUUGUUGAUACCGCGCGAAAGCUGGGUUCGACUCCCAGCCAGAGUG
Rhodocollybia butyracea is the source of this 100-nucleotide non-coding RNA. NCBI's taxonomy places the organism in Eukaryota, Fungi, Basidiomycota, Agaricomycetes, Agaricales, Omphalotaceae. The record is from the annotation of a GenBank genome assembly.